CCUACGGGAGGCAGCAGUGGGGAAUAUUGCACAAUGGGGGAAACCCUGAUGCAGCGACGCCGCGUGAGCGAUGAAGUAUUUCGGUAUGUAAAGCUCUAUCAGCAGGGAAGAAAAUGACGGUACCUGACUAAGAAGCCCCGGCUAACUACGUGCCAGCAGCCGCGGUAAUACGUAGGGGGCAAGCGUUAGCCGGAUUUACUGGGUGAAAAGGGAGCGUAGACGGUAUGUUAAGUCAGCGGUCAAAGCCCGGGGCUCAACCCCGGCCCGCCGUUGAAACUGGCAGUCCCGAGUUGGAGAGAAGUAUGCGGAAUGCGCGGUGUAGCGGUGAAAUGCAUAGAUAUCGCGCAGAACUCCGAUUGCGAAGGCAGCAUGCCGGCUCCCCACUGACGCUGAGGCACGAAAGCGUGGGUAUCGAACAGGAUUAGAUACCCCUGUAGUC
Molecule: ribosomal RNA, 439 nt
Filed under: uncultured bacterium
Lineage: Bacteria
Description: partial 16S ribosomal RNA
Rfam family: Bacterial small subunit ribosomal RNA
Source: RNAcentral